Molecule: ribosomal RNA, 441 nt
Filed under: uncultured Succinivibrio sp.
Lineage: Bacteria; Pseudomonadati; Pseudomonadota; Gammaproteobacteria; Aeromonadales; Succinivibrionaceae
Description: bacterial SSU rRNA
Rfam family: Bacterial small subunit ribosomal RNA
Source: RNAcentral
UGAGGAAUAUUGGUCAAUGGACGAGAGUCUGAACCAGCCAAGUCGCGUGAAGGAAGACGGAUCUAUGGUUUGUAAACUUCUUUAGUGCGAGAACAAAGCGGCGUCGUGACGCCGGAUGAGUGUACCGCAAGAAUAAGCAUCGGCUAACUCCGUGCCAGCAGCCGCGGUAAUACGGAGGGUGCAAGCGUUAAUCGGAAUAACUGGGCGUAAAGGGCAUGCAGGCGGUUCAUCAAGUAGGAUGUGAAAUCCCCGGGCUCAACCUGGGAACAGCAUACUAAACUGGUGGACUAGAGUAUUGCAGGGGGAGACGGAAUUCCAGGUGUAGCGGUGGAAUGCGUAGAUAUCUGGAAGAACACCAAAGGCGAAGGCAGUCUCCUGGGCAAAUACUGACGCUCAUAUGCGAAAGCGUGGGUAGCAAACAGGAUUAGAUACCCUGGUAGU